This 78-nucleotide transfer RNA is filed under the name Agrococcus terreus. RNAcentral's name for it is "tRNA-Ser". The record is from RNAcentral. Lineage: Bacteria; Bacillati; Actinomycetota; Actinomycetes; Micrococcales; Microbacteriaceae.
GAGGCGGUGGGGCGCCGCUUCGCCGCGGCGCUCGAGCCGCUGCUCGCGUUCGAGCCGUUCGAGUCGGCGGCGCCGCCC